GAUAUAUAAUGUGGUUCUGAAAUCAACUCAUAUCCAGCAUGAUACAAAGAUUACAACUUUGCAUGCUGGUGUUAUCAGGAUCUUGUUUUGGGUGUGACGAUCGUCCAUUUCCAAGUCUCUGAUGGUGUCCAUGUGUACCUCCUGAUGACUCGGCAGCUUUGAGGUGUUGAUGGGUGUUUUAUGUUUCAUGGCUCAUACUUGAAACACCCACUAACACCUUCUAGUUGAACGAUGAUCCGGUUGUAUUCAAAAGCAUCUUAUCAGGUAGUUUUUGGAGAGUGUCUUUUGUCAGGGAAUUGUUUGAAUGACUUUGAAACAGAGAAUCCUUUCUCGUUGAGAGUGUCAGAUCUCACUAGUAUGUCUGAAGAAGUAUCAACAUUACAUUUGGUUGGUUACACUCAACAAAAUAUUUCAGUUAGUAUUCUUGAUACUCGGAGUUAAAGGUGGAUAUUCCUCAUCAUGUACGGUGCUGUGGUAGGAUGUUGGCAGUAUCAGUCUACCACUAGGAUGGAUGUUGAACAGAGCUAAGUGACAAGGUGGUCUCGCCUCAGCUGUAGACUGCACCCGUCUACCACACCGACCUGCCUCACCUGUCUGCCACACCCGUCUACCACACCCGUCUACCACACCCGUCUACCACACCAAUCUACCACACCAAUCUACCACACCUGUCUCAUCUCUAGUCCAUGAGUUAAAGAUGGAUUUUCCUAAUCACGUGCGGUGCUGUGGUAGGAUGUUGGCAGUAUGAGGCAACCACUGAGAUGGCUGUUGAACAGAACUAAGUGACAAGGUACACUUGCCGUGGCAGCACACUGCACCUGUCUCCGCGCUUGUCAGGGGGAGGGUCUGCACACUCAGCCACUGCAGCAGCAUACACGAUGAAGAUUACAGACCUCUAGGACGCCGCUAUGGUGCACUGCACCAUCAUAUAACAGU
Molecule: long non-coding RNA, 936 nt
Organism: Haliotis rufescens (red abalone)
Lineage: Eukaryota; Metazoa; Mollusca; Gastropoda; Lepetellida; Haliotidae
Exons: 4
Source: RefSeq, a predicted model, not a curated record